RNAcentral lists this ribosomal RNA (496 nucleotides) under uncultured bacterium. Its description in RNAcentral is "partial 16S ribosomal RNA". It matches the Rfam family "Bacterial small subunit ribosomal RNA", at positions 28 to 506 of the family's 1533-position model. The record is from RNAcentral.
GAUGAACGCUGGCGGCGUGCCUAAUACAUGCAAGUCGAGCGAACAGACGAGGAGCUUGCUCCUCUGACGUUAGCGGCGGACGGGUGAGUAACACGUGGAUAACCUACCUAUAAGACUGGGAUAACUUCGGGAAGCCGGAGCUAAUACCGGAUAAUAUAUUGAACCGCAUGGUUCAAUAGUGAAAGACGGUUUUGCUGUCACUUAUAGAUGGAUCCGCGCCGCAUUAGCUAGUUGGUAAGGUAACGGCUUACCAAGGCAACGAUGCGUAGCCGACCUGAGAGGGUGAUCGGCCACACUGGAACUGAGACACGGUCCAGACUCCUACGGGAGGCAGCAGUAGGGAAUCUUCCGCAAUGGGCGAAAGCCUGACGGAGCAACGCCGCGUGAGUGAUGAAGGUCUGCGGAUCGUAAAACUCUGUUAUUAGGGAAGAACAAAUGUGUAAGUAACUAUGCACGUCUGGACGGUACCUAAUCAGAAAGCCACGGCUAACUACGU